Molecule: ribosomal RNA, 417 nt
Filed under: uncultured Glomeromycotina
Lineage: Eukaryota; Fungi; Glomeromycota
Description: SSU rRNA
Rfam family: Eukaryotic small subunit ribosomal RNA
Source: RNAcentral
GUACUGGCAUUGUUGGUUUCUCCCUUCUGACGAAUCACGAUGUCAUUCAUUUGGUGUUGUGGGGAAUCAGGACUGUUACUUUGAAAAAAUUAGAGUGUUUAAAGCAGGCUCACGCUUGAAUACAUUAGCAUGGAAUAAUGAAAUAGGACGUUUGAUUCUAUUUUGUUGGUUUCUAGGAUCGACGUAAUGAUUAAUAGGGAUAGUUGGGGGCAUUUGUAUUCAAUUGUCAGAGGUGAAAUUCUUGGAUUUAUUGAAGACUAACUACUGCGAAAGCAUUUGCCAAGGAUGUUUUCAUUAAUCAAGAACGAAAGUUAGGGGAUCGAAGACGAUCAGAUACCGUCGUAGUCUUAACCAUAAACUAUGCCGACUAGGGAUCGGAUGAUGUUAAUUUUUUAAUGACUCAUUCGGCGCCUUACG